This is a long non-coding RNA of Leptinotarsa decemlineata (Colorado potato beetle), 996 nucleotides long. Lineage: Eukaryota; Metazoa; Arthropoda; Insecta; Coleoptera; Chrysomelidae. The record is from RefSeq and is a predicted model, not a curated record.
CCUACCUUCGGGUAAGAUGAUGAAUUUCUCAAGAACAUUAUUUUUUAUUUUGUAAACAAAACAGUUCAGAUUUUUGAAUACUAUAUUAGUAUUAGUGUACAUUCAAUGUCGAGCUGAAAUUUUUUUUUCUGUUAAUAUCGUGAAUGAUUCUGUGCAGAUGCGAUACUCUUCUCAGUGUAUAAUCUCACUCUCUCAAAAAAGAACCAUUUCGAUCUAUUUAAUAGUGAGGUCACAUUAAAUAUAUUGCCGUAAAUAACACUGAAUUCAAAUUUGAAAAUCCUCCCUGAAUUAACAGAUAUAUCACACAUUAUUAAUAAUGAUGAUCGUUAAAAUGAGUAUAAUUAUUGAACAAAGUAACAACAGAUCACUUCCGACCACAAAUCCAUAUAGUUUCACAUAAAUGAAAAAAUUAAGUUCAAUAGUCCAUAACAAUGUCCGCUUUCACAAUCGUUUUAUAUUAGUAUCUACAAAAAGAUAACUUUCUUGUCAAUUUCAUGCUUCAGAACAAACCUAUGUUUUCUCCGAAUCAAAUAAGUUUUGCAAUUCCUAUAUAAAUACGGAACAAGGAAGUAUCUUACAGACAGUUCAGAGAAAUUAUUAUACAAAACUAUACAAGAUGGCAAGGAUCCUGUCCCAGAUUUUUUUUCUCGUAACUCUGUUUGCGAUCACGAUAUCAUACCCACUUAAUCAUGAUUUGGAAGCAGCUGCAACUGGAGAUGGUCACCAUGGGAGGGUUCAAAUCAAAGUUUACAGAGGACCUACAGAACACAGUGGACAUGAUUCUUUUGCACCUUGGGGGUAUUGGUCGAAGCAACCUGCAGAUCAUUAGUUAUUUAUUAGCAUUAUGUUACAAAUUCAUUUUAUAAUAAUGAGGGUAUAUCUAUGAGUGAGCGUUUGUUUAGAUCCUGCUCAAUUUGGAGAUAAGAUUAUAUUUAUUAUUUGUUUUGCUGGAGCUGAGUGAUAUAAAAUAGUAGUUUAAAUAUAUAUUUUUUCUUA